GCCAGGCGUGGUGGUGCACGCCUAUAAUCCCAGCAGCUCUGGAGGCGGAGGCAGGAGGAUUGUUCAAAGCAAGCCUUAGCAAUUUAGGGAGGCCCUGAGCAACUUAAUAAGACCCUGUCUCUU
This 123-nucleotide small RNA is filed under the name Marmota monax (woodchuck). Lineage: Eukaryota; Metazoa; Chordata; Mammalia; Rodentia; Sciuridae. The record is from RNAcentral.